AGAGUUAAGAAGUUUCACAAAACAGCUAGUUUCGACCUAGAAAAAGAAAUAAAUUUCCUAACUC
Molecule: transfer RNA, 64 nt
Filed under: Anoeconeossa unicornuta
Lineage: Eukaryota; Metazoa; Arthropoda; Insecta; Hemiptera; Aphalaridae
Description: tRNA-Arg
Source: RNAcentral